Long non-coding RNA from Saccostrea cuccullata (small rock oyster), 440 nucleotides. RefSeq lists it as uncharacterized. The record is from RefSeq and is a predicted model, not a curated record. The transcript has 3 exons. Lineage: Eukaryota; Metazoa; Mollusca; Bivalvia; Ostreida; Ostreidae.
AACAUGUUUUCUGUUAAAUAUGCUCUGUUUGUUUGGAUAAUUCCACAGGAACCGUCAACAGCGGACUUGAAUAGAUGAUGUGCGAGUUCAUUGAUGGAUUUGCCUGCACUCAUGCGUCAUCAUGUGUCAUCACGGUAUAAAGGAUUUUAAUCUAAAAAGAAACCCUGCAGAUUUGCAGCUGUGCAGAAUGCAGUUCAUGCCAUAUGCUGUUAGAGUAAAUGAUGAAAGAUGUUCAAACCAGUGUCAAAGAUUCCUUAGACUGAAAUCAUGGUGCUUUAAUUAAGGAGAUCAGUGUAUGUUUUCUGUGCAUUGUUGACAUUUGUGGAACUGUUCAGUUUAUGACCAUCUCUCUGACAAUAACUCUGACAUUUGAAUUUCAAUUUGAGCGUCGAAUAAGAAAGUCAAAUUAAAUGCAUGUAAAACAUUAUACCACGGUUAUA